AUUGAACGCUGGCGGAAUGCUUUACACAUGCAAGUCGAACGGCAGCACGGACUUCGGUCUGGUGGCGAGUGGCGAACGGGUGAGUAAUGUAUCGGAACGUGCCCAGUCGUGGGGGACAACGUAGUGAAGAUUACGCUAAUACCGCAUACGAUCUAUGGAUGAAAGGGGGGGAUCGCAAGACCUCGCGCGAUUGGAGCGGCCGAGAUCAGAUUAGGUAGUUGGUGGGGUAAAGGCCCACCAAGCCAACGAACUGUAGCUGGUCUGAGAGGACGACCAGCCACACUGGAACUGAGACGCGGUCCAGACUCCUACGGGAGGCAGCAGUGUGGAAUUUUGGACAAUGGGCGAAAGCCUGAUCCAGCCAUUCCGCGUGCAGGAUGAAGGCCCUCGGGUUGUAAACUGCUUUUGUACAGAACGAAAAGGUUUCUACUAAUACUAGGAGCUCAUGACGGUACUGUAAGAAUAAGCACCGGCUAACUACGUGCCAGCAGCCGCGGUAA
This 500-nucleotide ribosomal RNA is filed under the name uncultured bacterium. Its description in RNAcentral is "partial 16S ribosomal RNA". It matches the Rfam family "Bacterial small subunit ribosomal RNA", at positions 30 to 523 of the family's 1533-position model. The record is from RNAcentral.